AGCGAACGCUGGCGGCAGGCCUAACACAUGCAAGUCGAGCGCCCAGCAAUGGGAGCGGCAGACGGGAUAGUAACACGUGGGAACGUACCCUUCAGUUCGGAACAACCCAGGGAAACUUGGGCUAAUACCGAAUACGUCCGUAAGGAGAAAGAUUUAUCGCUGAAGGAUCGGCCCGCGUCUGAUUAGCUAGUUGGUGAGGUAAUGGCUCACCAAGGCGACGAUCAGUAGCUGGUCNGAGAGGAUGAUCAGCAUCACUGGGACUGAGACACGGCCCAGACUCCUACGGGAGGCAGCAGUGGGGAAUAUUGGGACAAUGGGCGCAAGCCUGAUCCAGCCAUGCCGCGUGGAUGAUGAAGGCCCUAGGGUUGUAAAGUCCUUUCGACGGGGAAGAUAAUGACGGUACCCG
Molecule: ribosomal RNA, 406 nt
Filed under: uncultured bacterium
Lineage: Bacteria
Description: bacterial SSU rRNA
Rfam family: Bacterial small subunit ribosomal RNA
Source: RNAcentral